UACAGGAAUCCUCCACUGGUUUGUUUCACUGCUGGCAAUUUUCUUAAUUCUCUUAUAUGUAAGAACACAGCUCAGAAAAAAUCUGUAAAGGACCUAUGCAUAACUGCUGAGUUUUACAGGUCUCAUCCUCUCAGGAAGUAGAGCAUCUCUAUUGCACUUAAGAAGCUGAGGCAAUAGAGCCCAAAAAUACUGAGACAGCACCAGUGAUCUGAAUCUUGAAAUUUUAUUCUCUGAUUCAACGUGUUACAAACAAACAUAUUCCACCUGUUACAACAAUCUGGCAUAUUACUUCCUUGAUACGUGAUGAUACAAUACCUCUCAGGUUUGCUGAGUAGCAAAGAGAAAUUGAGAGUACUGCUGGAACAGCAAUUUAACUUCCAGGAAAAUUCAGCAGAUCUUUUGAGACUUAAAGCAUGUGAGAAGUCAGGCACUGUCCAAGUGAGUGUGAUAUUCACAACCAUUUUUAAACCCUGAGAUAGAAUUUUAGGGUUUGCAAACAAUAGUAA
Molecule: long non-coding RNA, 506 nt
Filed under: Parus major (Great Tit)
Lineage: Eukaryota; Metazoa; Chordata; Aves; Passeriformes; Paridae
Description: lncRNA (ENSPMJG00000016601.1)
Source: RNAcentral